Molecule: long non-coding RNA, 624 nt
Filed under: Mus musculus (house mouse)
Lineage: Eukaryota; Metazoa; Chordata; Mammalia; Rodentia; Muridae
Description: predicted gene 9887 (ENSMUSG00000052673.3)
Source: RNAcentral
CCGGCUCCAACUGCGGCCGGCCUGCCGGCCUGCGAGCACCGGACUCGGCACCGACCCCGGUCACCACCCCGACGACGAGCGCGGCUCGGCGCCCGGUCAGGUCAUGGAUCCUCGCGGGAACUCGCGGGUGCUCGCCUGCAGGGACACAGAGAGGGAGAAGGGAGUUACCGCCGGGCCUCCGAGGGGGCGCCCAGACCGACGCGGCCCGCCUUUCGGGCUCGGCCCUUGAGGUUACCUCCAGCCGCCGCCCCGAGCGCGGGUUCCCUCCGGCCUCCACCUCCUCCUCCUAGCUCUGCUGCCGCCGCCGCCGCUGCCGGAAAAGGCGCCGAGGAAACCGCCUCACUUCCCCUCCCAACUGCGCACGCGCGCCUCGGCCCGACCGUUCGGAAGAGCGCGACCUCUGAAAGGAGAGUGGCCCGCGCUCUCGACGUCACGAGCGCCACGCGCCGGGGGGCGGGGCUACGGCGGCUCCCGGGGCUCAACGCCGGCGCCUCGCGGAACCUGCUGGCGUGGGGCUGGCCGUGUGCCCACCUGUCGCUCUACCCGGGGUCUCCGCGGGUCUCCUUCUCCGCCACUCGAAGGCGGGGCACGGAUCCACCGAGGGCGGGCUUCGUCGGCCCUUAG